This 468-nucleotide ribosomal RNA is filed under the name uncultured bacterium. RNAcentral's name for it is "partial 16S ribosomal RNA". It matches the Rfam family "Bacterial small subunit ribosomal RNA", at positions 28 to 507 of the family's 1533-position model. The record is from RNAcentral.
GACGAACGCUGGCGGCGUGCUUAACACAUGCAAGUCGAACGGAAAGGCCCUGCUUUUGUGGGGUGCUCGAGUGGCGAACGGGUGAGUAACACGUGAGUAACCUGCCCUUGACUUUGGGAUAACUUCAGGAAACUGGGGCUAAUACCGGAUAGGAGCUCCUGCUGCAUGGUGGGGGUUGGAAAGUUUCGGCGGUUGGGGAUGGACUCGCGGCUUAUCAGCUUGUUGGUGGGGUAGUGGCUUACCAAGGCUUUGACGGGUAGCCGGCCUGGGAGGGUGACCGGCCACAUGGGGACUGAGAGACGGCCCAGUCUCCUACGGGAGGCAGAAGUGGGGAAUAUUGCACAAUGGGCGGAAGCCUGAUGCAGCAACGCCGCGUGCGGGAUGACGGCCUUCGGGGUGUAAACCGCUUUCGCCUGUGACGAAGCGUGAGUGACGGUAAUGGGUAAAGAAGCACCGGCUAACUACGUG